CAAGCUAGAGUGUNUCAGAGGGGGGUAGAAUUCCACGUGUAGCAGUGAAAUGCGUAGAGAUGNGGAGGAAUACCGAUGGCGAAGGCAGCCCCCUGGGAUANCACUGACGUUCAUGCUCGAAAGCGUGGGUAGCAAACAGGAUUAGAUACCCUGAUAGUCCACGCCCUAAACGAUGUCAAUUAGCUGUUGGGCAACUUGAUUGCUUAGUAGCGUAGCUAACGCGUGAAAUUGACCGCCUGGGGAGUACGGUCGCAAGAUUAAAACUCAAAGGAAUUGACGGGGACCCGCACAAGCGGUGGAUGAUGUGGAUUAAUUCGAUGCAACGCGAAGAACCUUACCUGGUCUUGACAUGUACGGAAUCUCUCAGAGACGGGAGAGUGCCUUCGGGAACCGUAACACAGGUGCUGCAUGGCUGUCGUCAGCUCGUGUCGUGAGAUGUUGGGUUAAGUCCCGCAACGAGCGCAACCCUUGUCAUUAGUUGCCAUCAUUUAGUUGGGCACUCUAAUGAGACUGCCGGUGACAAACCGGAGGAAGGUGGGGAUGAUGUCAAGUCCUCAUGGUCCUUAUGACCAGGGCUUCACACGUCAUACAAUGGUCGGUACAGAGGGUCGCCAAGCCGCGAGGUGGAGCCAAUCUCACAAAACCGAUCGUAGUCCGGAUUGCACUCUGCAACUCGAGUGCAUGAAGUCGGAAUCGCUAGUAAUCGCAGGUCAGCAUACUGCGGUGAAUACGUUCCCGGGUCUUGUACACACCGCCCGUCACACCAUGGGAGUGGGGGAUACCAGAA
Molecule: ribosomal RNA, 787 nt
Filed under: uncultured bacterium
Lineage: Bacteria
Description: bacterial SSU rRNA
Rfam family: Bacterial small subunit ribosomal RNA
Source: RNAcentral